Molecule: ribosomal RNA, 410 nt
Filed under: Callistoctopus furvus
Lineage: Eukaryota; Metazoa; Mollusca; Cephalopoda; Octopoda; Octopodidae
Description: partial 16S ribosomal RNA
Source: RNAcentral
UGCGGUAUUAUAACUGUACUAAGGUAGCAUAAUAAUUUGCCUUGUAAAUUAAGGCUAGAAUGAAUGGUUUGACGAAAAUUAAGCUGUCUCUAAUUUAUUUGUUAGAAAUUAAUUUUUAUAGUGAAAAAGCUUGGAUAAUUUAAAGGGACGAGAAGACCCUAUUGAGCUUGGUUAUUAAUAAUUAAAUGUAAAAUAAAUUGUUUUAUGGGUUUGUUUAGUAUAUAAUAUAUAAAUAUAUUUAAUUAAAUUAAUUUUGAUUGGGGUGAUCAAGGAAUAAAUAUAUUAAAAAGUAACUUCCUUAAUUUUUAUUAGAAAAUUUUAAUUGAGUAAUAAACCAAAGUUUUUGCUUAUAAGAUAAGUUACCAUAGGGGUAACAGCGUAAUUUUUUUUGAGAGUUCAUAUUGAAAAAA